Molecule: long non-coding RNA, 1421 nt
Filed under: Bos indicus x Bos taurus (hybrid cattle)
Lineage: Eukaryota; Metazoa; Chordata; Mammalia; Artiodactyla; Bovidae
Description: lncRNA (ENSBIXG00005026901.1)
Source: RNAcentral
UAUUAGUUAACAAUAUUUGUAAGUGAUAUUAAUGAAGAAUAAAUGACCUUCCCAGACAAGGCUAUUUCUGAAAUUUUCAGAGAUGAGAAGGACUUAUUAUUGUCCUUGGGAAAUGGAAACACCUAAAACAAAUAUUUCUUGCUAUUGUUGUGUGUCGUUGUCACCGUUCUACGUUAUUCCUCUCCUUUUCCUUUUUGCAGGAGAUAGGAAGAUUGAGAGAGCUGACGGAAGAGGGGAAGAGGGCGUCUUUCGCCACCUAGUGAUCAUUUUGAACUUGUGUCUUGUUUGUUGGAUUGUAAACAGAAGAAUUCAAGCAGUCAUUGCAUUAUUCUUAGAAGAUGCCAGGAAAAAAAAAAAAAAAAACAGGACACCCUGUUAUAUUUACAUUUCAGUUAAGCAACGAAUACUUUUGAAAGUUUAAGUGUGUCCCGCAUACUGUAAAGGACAUACUUGCAUGAAAAAAUAUUUGCUGUUUAUCUGAGAUUCACCUUGAACUGGGUGACCCGUGUUUUUAUUUGCUAAAUCUGGCAUUGGUUCUUGUAUUUAGGGACUUUGUCUGUAAUGCAUUGACUAAAGCCUGAAAAAUGACCAAAAAUCUUAAGACAGACCUCCUGAAGCAAAAUAUGUCUUUGGAGCUUUGAGGGAAAUGUGCACCUUAACACAUGAAAACAACUGUGUGGCAUAAACAGCCGUGUUUCACAUCCAUUUUCAUUUUUCCAGAAGUAUUUGUUUAGCAUUCUUAGCUGCCAGUCUCAGACAAGCUUUGUAAGAAGCCUGGAGUAAUCAGCGGACAGGCAUUUGUAGAGAGCAAAGUUCCACUCCACCCCACCCCCGGCCCGCGCUGGUAUUCUGAGGGGCUGGACUUAUUUUUGGCCAGAUCCCACCAGAAACCCUUCCCUUCUCUAAACUCUUGUUCAUGCCUCUUGAUGGCGAUUUCAAGGCUGCCCAGGCAGCGAUUGGUGGAGUUUGCUUUGAGGGCGUAUUUGUUCGGAGGCACGCCUGGUGCUACAUGUUGGCUCAGAUUUCAUUUGCUGGGUGACUUUUCACGAAAGACACCGAAUGCUACAUCCUACUCAGAUCUGAUGUUCGGUCCAGCUUUAAGAGUUGCCGCCCGCCCAAGAGACUGUUACAGACCCUCGCGGAGUCUCUAGUCUCUUGGGCCUUGAGACCGAGUUAAUCAAGACUGCCUCUCGGCCGCCGCUGCUGGGACCGAGUUGGGGCGCGGGCUUGGGGUGGGAAGAUCGAGGUGGUGUUCUGACCCACAGUCAUCGGUCCGGUCGGAAGUGACAGCACGCGGUCCUCCCAUCCGUGCGGGGGAUGAUCGCGCCACGCGCUGAGGAAGGCAGUUCUCUCCCGAGAGCCACCGGAUAAGCACGGCGGCGCGGAGGGGAGCUGCUUCCGAGCCGGCUCCCUGCACAUGC